CCUACGGGUGGCAGCAGUCGAGAAUCAUUCACAAUGGGGGAAACCCUGAUGGUGCGACGCCGCGUGGGGGAAUGAAGGUCUUCGGAUUGUAAACCCCUGUCAUGUGGGAGCAAAUUAAAAAGAUAGUACCACAAGAGGAAGAGACGGCUAACUCUGUGCCAGCAGCCGCGGUAAUACAGAGGUCUCAAGCGUUGUUCGGAAUCACUGGGCGUAAAGCGUGCGUAGGCUGUUUCAUAAGUCGUGUGUGAAAGGCGCGGGCUCAACCCGCGGACGGCACAUGAUACUGCGAGACUAGAGUAAGGGAGGGGGAACCGGAAUUCUCGGUGUAGCAGUGAAAUGCGUAGAUAUCGAGAGGAACUCUCGUGGCGAAGGCGGGUUCCUGGACAUUAACUGACGCUGAGGCACGAAGGCCAGGGGAGCGAAAGGGAUUAGAUACCCCUGUAGUC
RNAcentral lists this ribosomal RNA (446 nucleotides) under uncultured bacterium. Its description in RNAcentral is "partial 16S ribosomal RNA". It matches the Rfam family "Bacterial small subunit ribosomal RNA", at positions 338 to 795 of the family's 1533-position model. The record is from RNAcentral.